Molecule: long non-coding RNA, 1369 nt
Filed under: Homo sapiens (human)
Lineage: Eukaryota; Metazoa; Chordata; Mammalia; Primates; Hominidae
Description: HSALNT0375798
Source: RNAcentral
GGCUCUCAGACCUCAAACUGGGAAUGCUGACCCCUUGGGCCUCAAAAAGCAGAGAAAAGAAUGACAUGUUCCUCAACCAACUCCCGAGCCAGAUCUGGGCACUGGAUGCUACCGCACUACACAUCCUCCAUGCCCUUUCUUAUUACCAGCUGCCCCCAAACUUCACCUGUUGCCAAAGCCACCACACAUUUGCCACUCAAUUCUGUGGUUUCCGCAGAUGAGAAGGCUGAUUUGAACUGAAACACAGGGGCAGAGAAGUGAAGGGUUAAUUUCCAAGAGCACUGCCCAGGUCUCCUCCCCAUUUCAACUUCUGUUCCAGGAGAAAAAGACCAAAGACCAAAGAGGCCAAAGACCUCAAGCAGGGCCUGUAGGACCCAAAGUAUUGGCAGGUGCCAGAGCCACUCCUCCCCACAUCCAGGUGAGCCCUGUGCCCUGGCACCAGGAUCUGCUGUCUUUGCUAAGUGGAAGGAUCUGGUAGUGCCAAAUAGUGUUUGGACCUUCUAAGCUAGCUGGUGUGGGGGUCAAGUGCAUGGUCUUUGGAGCUAGACAGCCUUUCCACUUAGGACAUAUGUGACCUUCAACAAGUUUCUAAACCUCUCUGGGUUUCAGUUUUGCCAUCUGUAGAAUGGAGCUGGUAUCUCCCUUACAGGAUUAAAGGAAAUAAUGUGUGUCCCAUGCUCAGCCCUGCACCUGCCACAGUAAGCACCUGGUGAGUGGGAGUAUCUGAUCUUGUUAUUGAGGAUGCAGAGGCCGACUCCCCUGUUCUCUGCUUCCUUCGCCCUCCCCUUGCCAACCUGCUUCAACACAGGAUCCUGCAGGACCUCCUCCUUUGCCAUAUGCUCCUUCAGCAGUUCUGUCUGCACAAUCCCCGGCCACAGAGACACACAGCUGACCCCAUGGCGCCGCAGCUCGUGGGCACAGUCAGCAGCCAGCUUGUCACACUGUGGAGAGGCGGAAGGCAGGGAGCCCCAAGGUCUCAGCUGCCCACGCUCCCCAGUGUGAUGCCUACUCUAGCCAACCAAGAGGAGCACAAGCAAAGGAACUGUCCAUGGAUGAGGCAGAGGAGGAGCUGAGAGGAGCCAGCCUUACCAUUCUGACCACUGGGGAUUGUACCUCCUGAGCUAUAGUGUCUCGCUGUGUCGUCUAGACUGGAGUGCAGUGGUGUGAUCAUGGCUCAACUCCUAGGCUCAAGCGAUCCUCCUGCCUCAGCCUCCGGAGUAGCUGCUGGGACUGCAGGAACGUGCCACCAUGCCUGGCUCAAACACAAAGUUUUUUCAUAAAACUCACUUGGCGGCAAAAUUCUACCUUACCUGAAGUUAUUUACGGGGUUUUUAAUUUCCACUUUGAAUAAAUAUUCACAUCUUGUUGA